Molecule: ribosomal RNA, 305 nt
Filed under: uncultured bacterium
Lineage: Bacteria
Description: bacterial SSU rRNA
Rfam family: Bacterial small subunit ribosomal RNA
Source: RNAcentral
GUGCCUACGGGGGGCAGCAGUGGGGAAUAUUGCACAAUGGGGGAAACCCUGAUGCAGCGACGCCGCGUGAGUGAAGAAGUAAUUCGUUAUGCAAAGCUCUAUCAGCUGGGAAGAAAAUGACGGUACCUGAGUAAGAAGCCCCGGCUAACUACGUGCCAGCAGCCGCGGUAAUACGUAGGGGGCAAGCGUUAUCCGGAUUUACUGGGUGUAAAGGGAGCGUAGACGGCAGUGCAAGUCUGGAGUGAAAGGCGGGGGCUCAACCCCCGGACUGCUCUGGAAACCGUAUAGCUUGAGUACUGGAGAGG